Molecule: long non-coding RNA, 3923 nt
Organism: Gallus gallus (chicken)
Lineage: Eukaryota; Metazoa; Chordata; Aves; Galliformes; Phasianidae
Exons: 5
Source: RefSeq, a predicted model, not a curated record
CCCUUUCCAGCUUUUCCAUCUGUUUCUGAAGGUGGCCAGCAGCUUCUGAGCUUGUUCCCUGAGAACACAGGCCUGCUGUUCAGCUCUUGCCUUUGUCUAGCCAGCUGCAAGCUGCAUGGCACACUGAAGGAUGUAGGUUUCCUUCUUGCUUUGGUCUUAUUUUCAGCUCUGCUAUACCAGUCCAGAGGCUGUGUUCCUCUGCCUACCAUCGCUGCUCGCUGCAUCUGAUCAUCCCCUGGUUGUUGCUCCAGCCUUUCUCUCUCCCUUCUGCUUUUGGCUCCAGCCAUUUGCUUGUAGUGGACUUGGCAGUAGAACACCCCGUGGAGGGCAGCAUAAUUGUGCAAGCUGGAAAACACACAUUGGCAUAGCUGUUAGAGGUUGUGCAGGAGGGAAGGAUUAACAGCAACGAUGGAUAGGUUUUCAGCAGAGUUGUCUGUCAGUGGAAACUGCUGGGGAAAAGAGGGGGUCUGAAGAAAGGAACCUUUCAAAAGCACUGUCUGUUUUCUGAGGAUAUGUUUGAUUUUUCUUUCAAGAUCUAAAACACGUGAAAAAUUAUACAUUUCCUUGCAAUGCCUCAGGGAGCUGUAGGCCAGGUUAUGUGAGAUCCCUUUAUGUGCCAGGCUUCAAAACAGGACUUCAUCUUUGUAUGGACAGCGUGGCCCAGAUAGGUCAGAGUCUGAGAACCGGGUUAGAAAAGCCUUAUAACAAGAAGGUUAAGGGCAGGAUCUCAUUGCUGUGUGUGUUUGUCUUGUGGGAGGUUAUAGAGAAGACAGACUCGGAUUGUUCUUGGAGGUGUGGAGAACAAGAGGCAAUAAGAACAAGCUGUAAACAUGGGAUAUCGUGAUUAGAUAUAGGAAAAGAACAUUUUUGCUGCUGAUCAGAUCUUGAAAGAGAGGCCCCGACUGGAAGGCUGUGGAAUCUCUGACCUUGGAACCAUACACACCUCUCCUGGCUGAGGCCCUGAGCAACAUUCCUCCUUGGACCUGCAAGGGACUGGGUGGAAGCUUCCAAGUUUCCUUUCAACUCUAUGAACAGAUUCCUGGUCUGCAGGAGUCUACAAGCAGUCUUCAGACUCUAGGGUUGGAAGAUCAAAUUGCACUGGGGACACCCUCUGCUCUUCCCUGCUACCUUGAGUGUUACCUUGAGCCUAUCCUGUUUGAAUGACCACUGGGCCAUUCUGAGGCAAACUACUUGGACCUAUUUUAAAGACAAAUGGAUCUGGGGUCCUACCACUCACCUCAGUUUCUUCCCACAGAUUUUGCAGCAGAAGCAUGAGUGGUGUAAACAGACUUUGUCUGGGAAGACACGCUCCAUAGAGUAGACAGGCUGGAGGCAUGAGACACACACCUCCUUCAUCAUGGGCUGAAGAAGAAGGAGAAACUGAAGUUAAAUAACUACAAACGGUGACCACUUGGAAAUACGUGUGCAAGCUGAUUUGCAGAAUUCACUGCUUGUGUUGGAUUUUCUUGAUGCUUUUUAGAGAUUUGUUGGGAGAGUUCAGACUUCUGGCUGACCUAAUUCACUAGUAAUCUUGGAUAGGUCAGCAUUAAAGUUCAGCUGGGACAAAAAUACAAGACGUCCUUGGAACACUCAUGAGAGAAAUGAUUAAUUUGGUCUGGAGCAAAUGGUUCACUCAACUGAGUCAUUUAAAAGACUGGGUGAGCUAAGAAAUACUGUUCAGAGGCUCUGACUUAAAAUUCUGGAUGGGCAGCUCCUGAAAUCAAGAUACCAUAUCUAGCUGCUCACAUGAACGACAUAAUCCAAACCCUAAAAAGAUCACAAGUCUUGGUGUUAAAGCUCCAACUGCUCCAUAAACCUUGUGGUUUACUCCAGUAUGUUGACUUGUGCACGUAUUUUCUGCCAUGACGCGACGGUUCAAACACCAUUUUAUGUAAAGAGCCCAAGGAGCCUCUCUGGAAAGCAUUGACAACAUCAGCUAUUUUAUUAAUGGAGGGACAAAGGGAAUAAAGAAGCUUGGAUAUCAGCCUAUCUGCAAAAAUAGCUUCAGGCUGCCUGCAUGGCCAGAGACUGCUGGCACCAUUGUAGGUAUCUCUGGGGGCUGCAUUUUGCUGUGGUACAAAGCAGAGGCUCAGAAAUGCAUCCAAUUUUAUUGUAACUCUAAUUAGGUUAGUACUCCAGGUACAGAUAUUACCUCAUACAAGGCUGUCUCUGCACUUUUCUUGGGUCUGUUUUGCCACAGUUUGAUUUGAUAGGGUUUUACUGGUGUUCUCUUAUCCCUUUGACGUUUCAUUCAACAUGUGCUCAUCCUGAGUCUCUGCAUUGUCAUCUCAGAGAAUAGACAAGUUUAAUUUUGGCUGUUGCGUAGUGUGGGCUGAUGGCCAUAUUUUAGACUCAAAUAGAGGAAGCAUGAAAGAUAUUUCUGCAUCAGAGAUACAUGGUAUGUCUCGAGGUGAGUUGACAAGGGAACCUAAACCUUUAAUUUGCAGCAGACACCUGGCAUUUGUGCAAAUAGUUUAAUUACCUUUCUUUUUUUGGCUGAGUAUCAGUAAUAUCAGUCCUAUUUGUUUUUCUAUGACAAUGCUUCCAAGAAGAAGAGUUUAAUGUUCUUUGGUUUUCUUCCCUGUGUCUAGAUGGAUGCAUCCAAACAAAAGCCCCAUCUUCCCUACAGCCUUCAGUGAUCUCAACACAGCUCUGCUUUUCAAAGUCUCUGCAGAGAGGAUGGCAUAGUCCUAAACAUUUUUGUGGGCCAAGAAUUUUCUGACAAAACUACCAGGAAGAUGUUAGGAAUAUGUCAUCAGCCACUUCCAUUCAAGGUUUAUCAAUCUUAGACCCAGAACGAUGAUGGAUGUUCCCUAUUUCCUUCAGUUACCAACGCCAAAGCAUCAGCAGAGAGAUGCCUCCCAUGGAGAUGACUGCAGCUGGGGAUGUCUCUAUCUGGUUCAUGGAGGAAUUGGCUAUUUUGGGAAGAGCUGAUCUAUCAGGCAGACAAGCUGAGAGGUUUUGAGUUCAGAUUUUGCAGCUUUUCUCUGAAAUACUGAAGGACAUUUGCUUUGCUUUCAUUUUGAGGUGACAACCUGUAACAUCGUGCACUAACAGGAUCCUGGGAGCCAGUGCUUCAAAAGAGACACUAAUUCCUAUGGGACAGACAUGUCAGUCCUUAGCACUGAACAGAUGCUGAGAUAAGAGCAGAAGGACUCCACUGAGAUGCUCAGACACCUGCAGGUGUCUCUUCUGUCCUUGGUUCCAGCUGCUCCUGCAGAUGCCAAGGCAUUUUGAUGCAAAGCUGUGGCUGGAUCCACGUGGAAGCAGCUGGAAGCAGUGCAGAUGCAGGUGCUUCUGCCAAAAGGGCACGGCGGCACGAGGAGAGGAAACAGAAGAGAUUUCCUUAAUAUAUUUUUUUUCUUUCUAACUAAGUCACAGUAUCAAUAUGGGACUUCUUUCCCUGAUUUCUACUGUCAGUGGGUCAGACUCUGAAUCAAAAUGAAUGAUUCAGCUAUAGCCAGUGGAGACAGUGGCACAGCUGGUCCCAGUCUGGUGCAUCUUCAGACAGGCAGUGAGGCUGCAAAAUGAAUUAGUCUCUGAUUAUGCCAGUUUUUCUCCACUCUGGUCAAGAAUUUAACUGGGUCUCUGACUUUUCAAGAUUUUCAGCACUCUGGAAGGGGGGAGGAGAGAGUCAAGGCAUCCCUGUGACACCCACUUUUAGAGGAACUGGUGCCGACACCUCUAACACCUGCCCUUCUACCUGCUGUAGAAGACUUCUCCAUUCACUAAGAGAUUUGAAGCACACAUUUCCCUCUGUGGAAAGCAAAAAUGAAGCAACAGCGAGCGAAGGUGCCUGGGAUUUGAUGGUCUUUCCUUGCCAUGGCCAUGCCCUGUGAGGAUAACACUGAAAUGUGUGCUGGAUUAGAGAUUAGAAUCAUAGAGUCGUUUGAGUUGGAAGGCACCUUUGAGCUCCAACCCCC